This is a long non-coding RNA of Haemorhous mexicanus (house finch), 2209 nucleotides long. RefSeq lists it as uncharacterized. The record is from RefSeq and is a predicted model, not a curated record. Lineage: Eukaryota; Metazoa; Chordata; Aves; Passeriformes; Fringillidae. The transcript has 4 exons.
GGGCUGUGAGGGGCGAUGGAGGGGGGUGAGGGUGGCUGUGAGGGCUGAGGGGAGCUUUGGAGGAACAGGAGGCAGUGAGGGGUCACAGUGAAGGACUGUGAGGGGGUGCAGGCCAAAAUUUAGGGAGUGUGAGGGGUGAUAUGGACUGUGAGGAGUGGUGGGUGUCAGUGUGGGGCAGACAGGGUGGUUGUGGCAGUGUUGUGAUAAGAGUAUAGAAAUCUGGUGGAAAAGAAGCCCCUUGUUAGCCAGCUGGUCGUUGGAGAUCAGAGAGGGUGAGGGUAGCUGGGCUUAAUCUCUUAUUAUAACUAGUUUGGUACUAUAAGUGGUUGCAUUCAGUAGGAACUCCCAUGAGCACAGGUUCUCAAACAAGGCAUGUUCAACACUGAGUGUGGUAAUGUUCAGUAAGAACUUUCACAGGUUUAUGAAUAGUGUUUAUUGAAGUGGCAGAAAUGCAAGGGGCAGAAAUGCAAGGGGGGAAUGGAAGGGGGGAAUAACUGUAAGGUAGUAUGUUUUAAUUAGAUUUUCAGAAGAAAUUCUUUACUCAGAGGAUGGUGAAGCCCUGGCACAGGGUGCCCAGAGCAGCUGUGGCUGCCCCUGGAUCCCUGGCAGUGUCCAAGGCCAGGCUGGACAGGGCUUGGAGCAACCUGGGACAGUGGGAGGUGUCCCUGCCCAUGGCACGGGGUGGAACUGGAUGAGCUCUAAAAUCCGUUCCCAUCCAAACCAUUGUAAGAUUCUAUGAAAUAAUAGAUUUGGAAUUGCCCUAGAUGGAUGCACUAGCUGUGAUAGAGUUCUAACAGUAGCAGUAGUAUAGAGGUAGCUCAGGUAAUAAUCAUCAUUUUAUGUAGAAGCUUACAAUGAAUGCUUGGGAGGAGGGAGAGGAGACUAGUAGCCCAUCAACUGUUUCUGAGGUCCUUUUGGGUCUUUGUAACUAGGUGAAAUUUUUACCCUCCUUAUAUACACCCCAAUCUUAUCCCCCUCCUCCUUCUUCACAUAUAGCACGAUCUAAGCAGAGAGCAACGUAAUACAGUAAUAUAUGUGAGACUAAGGUACUUAAUGAAGGCAAUUAGCAUAUGCAGAAUUUGUUGGGGUUUUUUUAUGGUUUUUGUUAAGGUGUCCUUCAAAGUUCUGGUCAUACAACUUUGUUCUCAUUUGCUUCAUUCUUCAGAGCGAGAGCAGGAUCAUUGCAUCUCCACAGGACGUGCUCUUGCAGGGCCUUUCCUGAUGUCAGCCAUGCAGCUCUCCAUCCACAGAGAUACGACAGAGGGUACACAGCAUACGCUGUGCCAGUAUCUUAAUGAGAGAUUUGCUCGGUGGUGUGGAUCACUUAUCUUCCACUUCCAACAGCCAGAUGUGGUUCUGCCCCUCUAGAUGAGCUGCUGAUGUUACUCCUGGCAAUGAAGAUAAUGCCACUGGGACUGCCUGAGAUGUUUUGGUGCAUGAACAAACUUCUGCAGCAAGUGGCAGUGAGGUGUCUCACUGCAGGCACUCAUGUCGGAGGAGAUGCUUGGAGCUGAGGGCUGCUGGCUCCCACCUGAGUGCAGGUCACUGGGAUUCAACCUGAGGUCUCCCAGCUCUGUGAACCGACCUCAGCAUCCGGCAGAUCCCUGAGGUGACCUCACCCAGCAGGUUUUUCCGCAGGUGGGACCGCCCCGGGAGGCCGUGCAGGUUUGGGGGAGCGCAGCUUUGGUGCUGGCUGCUGCCCCAUGGCAGCUGCAGCCGGCCGAGUGCCGGACGGCGCGCUGCGCCUCCGGCUGCGCUGCGAGCCCGGCUCUCCGGGCAGGUGUGCUGAGGGGCGGGCCCCGCGCGUCCCCUCGGCAGCCAGGGGUGAUGCCGCUGCUGGAGAAGCAGCGCAGAGGCCAGACAUGCGUGCAAGCAGCUGUGUGUGCACAGAGCUGUGUGCAGGAGCACCCUGGGGUACUUGGCCUGUGUCCCUCAUCUCUGCUGCUGUCCUGUGUCUAACUAAUGCAGGCUGGCUUCUAAACUAAAAAUUUGUCCUUCAAAUUUGGUAAUGUCACUUUAAUUCACAGAGCACUUUUAAGAUGCUCAGAUGUAUUUGGCAACUGUGAUUUUUUUUAUUAGUAAAAUUAUAGCAUAUGAUAUUAAAAAUCUGUUUUCGUUGCUCUUGUUGGAAGGGAUGCCAAAUGCAAAUCCAUUUAGAUAAGUGAACUGGAUUUGUAGACUUCCUUUUGCUGUGCCUAUUAAACAGGUG